RNAcentral lists this ribosomal RNA (425 nucleotides) under uncultured bacterium. Its description in RNAcentral is "partial 16S ribosomal RNA". It matches the Rfam family "Bacterial small subunit ribosomal RNA", at positions 354 to 796 of the family's 1533-position model. The record is from RNAcentral.
GUGGGGAAUCUUAGACAAUGGGGGAAACCCUGAUCUAGCCAUGCCGCGUGAGCGAUGAAGGCCUUAGGGUUGUAAAGCUCUUUCAGCUGGGAAGAUAAUGACGGUACCAGCAGAAGAAGCCCCGGCUAACUCCGUGCCAGCAGCCGCGGUAAUACGGAGGGGGCUAGCGUUGUUCGGAAUUACUGGGCGUAAAGCGCGCGUAGGCGGACCAGAAAGUUGGAGGUGAAAUCACAGGGCUCAACCUUGGAACUGCCUUCAAAACUCCUGGUCUGGAGUUCGAGAGAGGUGAGUGGAAUUCCGAGUGUAGAGGUGAAAUUCGUAGAUAUUCGGAGGAACACCAGUGGCGAAGGCGGCUCACUGGCUCGAUACUGACGCUGAGGUGCGAAAGCGUGGGGAGCAAACAGGAUUAGAUACCCGGGUAGUCC